RNAcentral lists this long non-coding RNA (225 nucleotides) under Brassica napus (rape). Its description in RNAcentral is "long non-coding RNA (BNAP_LNC008552)". The record is from RNAcentral. Lineage: Eukaryota; Viridiplantae; Streptophyta; Magnoliopsida; Brassicales; Brassicaceae.
UUCCUAUCGAUAGAUGGAAUGUUUGUGCAGUUAUAUGGCCUCAGUAACUCAACUAGUCAGAGUCUAGAUAUAGUUCUUGCCAAUGUAAUGCUCGGUGAUAGCAAUAAGUGGAACACUCCACCAUCACAUAAAAACUUAUCAAUAAAUUCAUCAUACCGCAUAAAAAGUUUCCAAUAUAAAUAUAAAGUAUUCUCUCCGUUUUUAAAUAGUGUCAUUUUGAUAUUU